GACGAACGCUGGCGGCGUGCCUAAUACAUGCAAGUAGAACGCUGAAGGAGGAGCUUGCUCUUCUGGAUGAGUUGCGAACGGGUGAGUAACGCGUAGGUAACCUGCCUGGUAGCGGGGGAUAACUAUUGGAAACGAUAGCUAAUACCGCAUAAGAGUAGAUGUUGCAUGACAUUUGCUUAAAAGGUGCAAUUGCAUCACUACCAGAUGGACCUGCGUUGUAUUAGCUAGUUGGUGAGAUAACGGCUCACCAAGGCGACGAUACAUAGCCGACCUGAGAGGGUGAUCGGCCACACUGGGACUGAGACACGGCCCAGACUCCUACGGGAGGCAGCAGUAGGGAAUCUUCGGCAAUGGACGGAAGUCUGACCGAGCAACGCCGCGUGAGUGAAGAAGGUUUUCGGAUCGUAAAGCUCUGUUGUAAGAGAAGAACGAGUGUGAGAGUGGAAAAGUUCACACUGUGACCGGU
RNAcentral lists this ribosomal RNA (466 nucleotides) under Streptococcus sp. oral taxon 064. Its description in RNAcentral is "bacterial SSU rRNA". It matches the Rfam family "Bacterial small subunit ribosomal RNA", at positions 28 to 477 of the family's 1533-position model. The record is from RNAcentral. Lineage: Bacteria; Bacillati; Bacillota; Bacilli; Lactobacillales; Streptococcaceae.